UACGUAGGGGGCAAGCGUUGUCCGGAAUUAUUGGGCGUAAAGAGCGCGUAGGCGGUCCGGUAAGUCGGCUGUGAAAGUCAAGGGCUCAACCCUUGAAAGCCGGCCGAUACUGUCGGACUAGAGUCCGGAAGAGGCGAGUGGAAUUCCCGGUGUAGCGGUGAAAUGCGCAGAUAUCGGGAGGAACACCAGUGGCGAAGGCGGCCGGCUGGGGGUGACCUGACGCUGAGGCGCGAGAGCGUGGGGAGCGAACCGG
Molecule: ribosomal RNA, 253 nt
Filed under: uncultured bacterium
Lineage: Bacteria
Description: partial 16S ribosomal RNA
Rfam family: Bacterial small subunit ribosomal RNA
Source: RNAcentral